Molecule: ribosomal RNA, 1306 nt
Filed under: human gut metagenome
Description: bacterial LSU rRNA
Rfam family: Bacterial large subunit ribosomal RNA
Source: RNAcentral
AAAACAUAUUCGCCGAAAACCCGAGGUUUCCUGGGUAAAGCUAAUCUUCCCAGGGUUAGUCGGAUCCUAAGGUGAGGGUGAAAGCCGUAACCGAUGGAAAACAGGUUAAUAUUCCUGUACUUGUUGUGUAGCGCGAUGGAGGGACGCAGGAAGAUAGGCGGGCCGGGUGUUGGAUAUCCCGGUGCAAGCGUGUAGGAAUAUCCGGUAGGCAAAUCCGCCGGACGAAUCUGAGACGCGAGUCCGUGGGCGCAAGCCCUGAAGCCGUUGAGUCUAUGCUGCCUAGAAAAGCUCCUAAGUUUAUCCACAGCAAUCCGUACCGCAAACCAACUCAGGUGGGUGGGAUGAACAAUCCAAGGCGCUCGAGAGAACUCUGGCCAAGGAACUCGGCAAAAUAACCCCGUAACUUCGGAAGAAGGGGUGCUCUCUAGGGUGACAUGUUUAACAUAUGAAGCCCCGGGGAGCCGCAGUGAAUUGGUGGUGGCGACUGUUUACUAAAAACAUAGGUCUGUGCGAAGUCCUAAAGACGACGUAUACGGACUGACGCCUGCCCGGUGCUGGAAGGUUAAAAGGAGGGGGCAGCGCAAGCAAAGCUCCGAAUUGAAGCCCCAGUAAACGGCGGCCGUAACUAUAACGGUCCUAAGGUAGCGAAAUUCCUUGUCGGGUAAGUUCCGACCUGCACGAAUGGCGUAACGAUCUCCACACUGUCUCGGCCAGAGACUCGGUGAAAUUGCAGUCGCGGUGAAAAUUCCGUGUACCCGCAGAAAGACGGAAAGACCCUGUGCACCUUUACUAUAGCUUGACAUUGGAUUUUGGGCCUGCAUGUGUAGGAUAGGUGGGAGGCUGUGAACCCUGUACGCCAGUAUGGGGGGAGCCAUCCUUGAAAUACCACCCUUGCAUGUUUAAGAUCCUAACUUCUUCCGGUUAUCCCGGAGAAAGACAGUGUCUGGCGGGUAGUUUGACUGGGGCGGUCGCCUCCUAAAGUGUAACGGAGGCAUGCAAAGGUUCCCUCAGCCUGAUCGGAAACCAGGCGCUGAGUGCAAACGCAUAAGGGAGCUUGACUGUAAGAGAGACAUCUCGAACAGGAACGAAAGUUGGCGUUAGUGAUCCGGUGGUCCCGAAUGGAAGGGCCAUCGCUCAUUGGAUAAAAGGUACGCCGGGGAUAACAGGCUGAUCGCAUCCAAGAGUUCACAUCGACGAUGCGGUUUGGCACCUCGAUGUCGGCUCAUCACAUCCUGGGGCUGAAGCAGGUCCCAAGGGUACGGCUGUUCGCCGUUUAAAGUGGUACGCGAGCUGGGUUUAAAACGUC